CGGUUCGUCUCCUUCGGGCUCAUCGUUUUCCUCGGGAUCCUCCAGCUCUGGCCGGCGACACACUUUCGACACCCCUACGAUCAUCACAGAAACUGGUUCCCCUACGAUCCUUUCUUUCUCUCUUUGACUAUAUGUUGAAAAAGGAGUUUUGGGUGGCCAAAACGGCAAGAUCAUGACUCCGAAUUGCCAGUAAUAAGUAAUCCACAAUGCUCUUCAGAAUCCAGGAAAAAUGAUCACUGAAUGUGCUAGACAGAUAAUGAUAUAGCACAAUGAGUUAACGGCGACAAGUAGAGUAACUACCACAUUCGCCUAGCCAUGAUAAAAUUUUAUAGUUACUGAUGUUCAAGGUUGUAAUUUUAGGAGAGAUUGGGGUGUCGGCACAUGAAUUUGGAUGGCUGGUGCUUAAGUCGUCCAUGCUCUAGUUUGUGAAUAGCAGACAAAUACAGAGAAGUGCCAAGCAGGAUGGAUUUUGGAGUGCUGAUUAUUGUUUUUUCAAAGUCUCGUUCCAUCUGAAUUGUUCAAAUAAGGCCAACUGAUCGGCUUCUGUAGUUGGGCAAGUUUGGGGCUUCUGGUAGAGAAAACGCCG
Molecule: long non-coding RNA, 586 nt
Organism: Rhodamnia argentea
Lineage: Eukaryota; Viridiplantae; Streptophyta; Magnoliopsida; Myrtales; Myrtaceae
Exons: 3
Source: RefSeq, a predicted model, not a curated record